RNAcentral lists this ribosomal RNA (473 nucleotides) under uncultured bacterium. Its description in RNAcentral is "bacterial SSU rRNA". It matches the Rfam family "Bacterial small subunit ribosomal RNA", at positions 28 to 507 of the family's 1533-position model. The record is from RNAcentral.
AAUGAACGUUGGCGGCGUGGAUUAGGCAUGCAAGUCGCGCGACAAAUUUCCUGCUUGCAGGAGAUGGAGGAGCGGCGAAAGGGAGAGUAACGCGUGGAUACCUGCCCCCAGGCCCGGGAUAGCGGCGGGAAACUGCCGGUAAUACCGGAUAAUGUCUCCGGACCAAAGGUGUGAUUCCGCCUAGGGAUGGGUUCGCGUCCUAUUAGCUUGUUGGUGGGGUAAUGGCCUACCAAGGCUGAGAUGGGUACCGGGUGUGAGAGCAUGACCCGGCUCACUGGGACUGAGACACUGCCCAGACACCUACGGGUGGCUGCAGUCGAGAAUCUUCCGCAAUGGACGCAAGUCUGACGGAGCGACGCCGCGUGCGGGAUGAAGGCCCUCGGGUUGUAAACCGCUGUCAGUGGGGAGCAAAUGCAUGGGGGCUAUCCUCCAUGUUUGAGCAAUCCGCAGAGGAAGCGCAGGCUAAGUUCGUG